RNAcentral lists this ribosomal RNA (520 nucleotides) under uncultured Archaeospora. Its description in RNAcentral is "SSU rRNA". It matches the Rfam family "Eukaryotic small subunit ribosomal RNA", at positions 569 to 1090 of the family's 1831-position model. The record is from RNAcentral. Lineage: Eukaryota; Fungi; Glomeromycota; Glomeromycetes; Archaeosporales; Archaeosporaceae.
AGCAGCCGCGGUAAUUCCAGCUCCAAUAGCGUAUAUUAAAGUUGUUGCAGUUAAAAAGCUCGUAGUUGAAUUUUAGGCCUGGCCGGGCGGUCCGUCUUUGGCGAGUACUGUCCUGUGUCGGGUCAUCCUUCUGGUGAACCAGUAUGUCCUUUAUUGGGUGUGCCCGGGAGAGCCAGGACCAUUACCUUGAAAAAAUUAGAGUGUUUAAAGCGGGCAUUUGCUUGAAUAGAUUAGCAUGGAAUAAUAGAAUAGGACGUUGUGGUUCUAUUUUGUUGGUUUCUAGGACCACCGUAAUGAUUAAUAGGGAUAGUUAGGGGCAUUAGUAUUCAAUUGUCAGAGGUGAAAUUCUUGGAUUUAUUGAAGACUAACUAUUGCGAAAGCAUUUGCCAAGGAUGUUUUCGUUAAUCAAGAACGAAAGUUAGGGGGAUCGAAGACGAUCAGAUACCGUCGUAGUCUUAACCAUAAACUAUGCCGACUAGGAAUCGGGCGACGUUAUUUUCAUGACUCGCUCGGCGCCUUA